Molecule: ribosomal RNA, 253 nt
Filed under: uncultured bacterium
Lineage: Bacteria
Description: partial 16S ribosomal RNA
Rfam family: Bacterial small subunit ribosomal RNA
Source: RNAcentral
UACAGAGGGGGCAAGCGUUGUUCGGAAUUACUGGGCGUAAAGGGCGCGUAGGCGGCCUGUUAAGUCGAACGUGAAAUCCCCAGGCUCAACCCGGGAACUGCGUCUGAUACUGGAUGGCUUGAAUUCGGGAGAGGGAUGCAGAAUUCCAGGUGUAGCGGUGAAAUGCGUAGAUAUCUGGAGGAAUACCGGUGGCGAAGGCGGCAUCCUGGACCGACAUUGACGCUGAGGAGCGAAAGCUAGGGGAGCAAACGGG